UAUACGUGCAUCGGGAUCAUUAUUGUCCCGCGCACCCCCCCUUCCCAAGGAGCCCCCCUCCCCACGUGCCUCCAAGAAAGCCCCUAACUUUGCCCGGGGUCGGGGUGGCGAUUCGGUAAGAGAUGAUAGAGGCUGGGGGGUGGCCGCCGCCCCUUGCUCUGAGUUGACCUAGGUGAGGGCAACUUGUUGGAAGACGCCCCACUCUCUGGGAGGGUCAGAGAUUCCCUGCGGCGGCCUCCCUUGUCUGUACCACCUCCACACUGCACCGAGACCUGAUGCCACGUGGGUGAAGCACAGCGCUGUAGGCAAAAGCAUUCAGAUAUGAACGAGUUAAUUAACAACUGCUCAGCGCCAACUCUGGAGCCAGCGCCGAGGAGUGCGGUUUGGAGACGUUUUCGCCGGGUUCACAGCCCUCAAGAAUGCAAUCAUGACAAUUAGAGAGCAGCGCAAGAAAAUCUAUAAUCAACUCCUUUACGGGAUGAAGUAAAGGCUGCUGCAAGCAAAGCA
Long non-coding RNA from Tupaia belangeri chinensis (Chinese tree shrew), 507 nucleotides. RefSeq lists it as uncharacterized. Lineage: Eukaryota; Metazoa; Chordata; Mammalia; Scandentia; Tupaiidae. The transcript is spliced from 2 exons. The record is from RefSeq and is a predicted model, not a curated record.